UUGGUGUUCUUAGAAGCAACAAAU
This 24-nucleotide non-coding RNA is filed under the name Arabidopsis thaliana (thale cress). The record is from RNAcentral. Lineage: Eukaryota; Viridiplantae; Streptophyta; Magnoliopsida; Brassicales; Brassicaceae.